RNAcentral lists this ribosomal RNA (253 nucleotides) under uncultured bacterium. RNAcentral's name for it is "partial 16S ribosomal RNA". It matches the Rfam family "Bacterial small subunit ribosomal RNA", at positions 524 to 776 of the family's 1533-position model. The record is from RNAcentral.
UACGUAGGGGGCUAGCGUUGUCCGGAAUCAUUGGGCGUAAAGCGCGUGUAGGCGGUCCGGUAAGUCCGCUGUGAAAGUCGAGGGCUCAACCCUCGAAUGCCGGUGGAUACUGUCGGGCUUGAGUACGGGAGAGGCGAGUGGAAUUCCUGGUGUAGCGGUGAAAUGCGCAGAUAUCAGGAGGAACACCAAUGGCGAAGGCAGGUUGCUGGACAGAGAGUGACGCUGAGGCGCGAAAGUGUGGGGAGCAAACCGG